Molecule: ribosomal RNA, 924 nt
Filed under: Triticum aestivum (bread wheat)
Lineage: Eukaryota; Viridiplantae; Streptophyta; Magnoliopsida; Poales; Poaceae
Description: partial small subunit ribosomal RNA
Source: RNAcentral
AUGAGUUAUCUCCCUGGCUCUCCGCCUUGCCUCCAGACCUCCCCAGCUAAGAUGCUAUCAAAAGGAGAGGCAGAGAGGAACCACAGAGGUGUUGCUACUCCCCCUUCUCUCUCUAUCUCUCUCUCUCUCUCUCUAGAGCACACACACACAUAUCGCCCAGACCACAACAUAGACGCAAGAGUCAAGUUCGAACAUGGGUGGUUGCUUCGGGAUGGCUUCCAUGACAUGGUCAAGGAGGUGUGGGAGAAACCGGUCGUCGGGCCUACCCCAAUUCACAAAUGGAAUAACAAAAUGCGUGCUUUAUGUAAAUUCCUUGGUGGUUGGGCUAGGCAUAUGGUGGGUAUCCUCAAAAAGGAGAAGCUUCACCUUUCAUCUAUCAUUGAUGAAUUAGAAGCUUUGGCAGAGGUUAGACCUCUAUCUGAGCAUGAAAUCGAGAUCAAGAGUCAUUCAAAUGCACAGAUAGCUAGCAUGCUGCGUGAAGAGGAACUCAAAUGGUAUCAACAUUCUAACUCUCAAUUUAUCCUGAAAGCCCCAGCGGAAGGAAACUUCUCGAUGGAUGAGUCCCGAACAAAUGAUAUCCCCCAGGUCUCUUAUGAGGAAAACAUCCUUCUAACAGCCCGAUACUCCGAGGACGAAGUUAGAAAGGCGGUUUUCCUAAUGGAGCACAACAAAAAAUAUUUGGAGGACGCCUACUGCUACAGUGCCGGCGACAACAUGAUCUUCCUCUUGUGCCACGAUGGCCAAUGCUCCCUAGUGAACGCCCUGUCUGGCGACGAGACCAACCUACCAGAGCUUGCUGCCGUGCUUCACAAGAAUGUCGCCCAGGACGACGGCGAUACCACCAGUAGGGGGCUCAUGAUAAGCCAGCGCUUCUCAAAAGUUGUGAUGUCGCCGGCCAACCACUUCCCAGUCAUUGCUCUCUAG